CACGUAAGGAGCGAGCGUUGUUCGGAAUUAUUGGGCGUAAAGGGCAUGUAGGCGGUUAAGUAAGUCUGAUGUGAAAGCGUACAGCUCAACUGUAUUGUUGCGUUGGAAACUGCUUAACUUGAAUCCGAGAGGGGUGUGUGGAAUUCCUAGUGUAGGGGUGAAAUCUGUUGAUAUUAGGAAGAACACCAGAGGCGAAGGCGACACACUGGCUCUGGAUUGACGCUGAGAUGCGAAAGCGUAGGUAGCGAAC
Molecule: ribosomal RNA, 250 nt
Filed under: uncultured bacterium
Lineage: Bacteria
Description: partial 16S ribosomal RNA
Rfam family: Bacterial small subunit ribosomal RNA
Source: RNAcentral